Long non-coding RNA from Zea mays, 2926 nucleotides. RefSeq lists it as uncharacterized. Lineage: Eukaryota; Viridiplantae; Streptophyta; Magnoliopsida; Poales; Poaceae. The transcript is spliced from 8 exons. The record is from RefSeq and is a predicted model, not a curated record.
AAACACUCCCUGGAAACGUCCAUCUCCUGGUGCUUCUCUCAAGCCACCGACGCUCAGGCUCUCUACAUCCUUUAGCAGGCGCCAACUCCCUGGAGCUCGCCUUCCUGCUGGCCGCCCCCAGCACCGACGCCCCUUCUUUUUCCCCAUCUCCUUCCUUGGCGCGCUCGCCCAGGUCACGCGUGUCCCUGCUCGCCCAGGCCGCGACCUCGCCAAACCGCGCAGUCCCUGCUCUCCUUCCCCAGCCGCGCUCAGCCCAGCCCUUCCUCCUUCGCCCUUGUCGAGCUCCCUCAGCUCGCCCCCAACCACAACUGCACGCCAACCUCGCCCUAGGCCAUGGAGCAGCAACAACCAUGGAACCCUUUCGUGUCGCGCCCUCGAUGUGCUCGACGAAAGUUGGUUCGAUGAACGGGUUGGCUAAUCGCGAUGUGUGGAGGAGACAAAUUUCUAGGAUCUGAGGGUAAGAGAAGCCAAGACCUAGAGCGAUGAUCACUAGGUGUUCGGUGAAAAGGAUGAACCGGUGAUCGUGGUUGGUCUUGCAAAAUCCGAGUUCUAUUUUAUGUUGGUAAGGUGUUGUGCGGUGUGAUCUCCAAUUCCAUGUUGCUGAUGUCUUGCUCCAUCAUGACCUUAGGGAAGGAUGUUUUCCUCUAAAUUAUCGUAAUAAUUAUGCUGGGUUUAUGUGUUGUUUUAGCAUACAUUGUGAAAGCAUUUCUUGCUCAGCAGGACAAGGAGGGGCUUUCAUGAAAUAACUUUUGACCACUUAUGUUCCUUUUCCAAAUAUAAAUCAGUUAGAAGUGGGUCUUGGCAAUAAUUAGCUCAUGACUAUUUGUUGUUGGCCCUUUGGCUGCAAUUUCUGAAUAGUUUGAUGUGAAGGGACCUUGCUGAGCUUUGUGUACUUGAUAUUUGAAUAGUUUGGAGAAAGGAUUAAAAUCUACCCUCACUAAUUUUUUAGAUGCCCCUUAAAACUGAUUUUGAGGAGUUAUUUUCUAGGGAGCUCUUGGAGAUGCUCUUAUUCCUAUUGGUACGGAGUAAUAUGUAUAUUGUGCAAUUAAAAUGGCCUUUAUAUGGUAUUGAACAUUUCCCACAAUAAUCUGUAAUCUUUCCAUGAAUUGUUUUCCUAUAUGUGGUAUUAUUAAUUGGCAGUGCUCCUAGACACUGCACAUCCAUUUCCUGUGAAAUUACUAAAAGAUUGCCGGGAAGUGGCAAUGGGACUGUUACUGAUGAAAUUUUAUGAGAAUUAUUGAUUUCGAAGUAACUUCUUUCUGGACUUUUUUGCCAGCCAACAUUGUUUUCCAUAGAAAAUGGUUUUUGAAUAUUCAUGGCAAAAUUUUAUGGUUUACAAAAUUCCUUCAUUUCAUCUACAGAAAAUCGGGCAGGCUCUACUACCUUUACCUGGCGAUGCUAAAAGCCAACCAGCACUAGCAACAGCGACUCAAUUUGCUGCCACAAACAUCUGCACCAGCAGAGGCCGCUACCGCAGAAGCCACCACGGAAUCAGAUCCUGCAACGUCCACUCCUCUUUCACCUUAUACAAAUUACCCAGAUUGUGGUGCCCGACGAGGUGGGGCGUCGUUUGAGAGGGCCGAUGAGGCGUCGGAGAAGAAGCAGUCGAACCCGAUGCGGGAGAUGAAGGUCCAGAAGCUCGUGCUCAACAUCUUCGUUGGCGAGAGCGGUGAUCGCCUCACCCGCGCCGCCAAGGUACUGGAGCAGCUGAGCGGCCAGUCACCGGUAUUCUCCAAGGCAAGGUACACUGUGAGAUCGCAUGCUAUGUGACGGUGCGGGGUGAGAAGGCAAUGCAGCUGCUGGAGAGUGGCUUGAAGGUGAAGGAGAACGAGCUGCUGAGGAGGAACUUCAGUGACACUGGUUGCUUUGGAUUUGGUAUCCAAGAGCACAUUGAUCUUGGCAUCAACAAAUUUUGUUUGAUGUGCAGUGACACGACCUUGACAGUCAAGAUGCUCUUUCAGGUUAUUUUCUCCUGAAACCACUUCUUUUGCCAUCUCCUAAUGUUAUGGUCCCAGUUACAUCUCCAUUCAUUGCAGGAGAUGGUCCCAGUUACUUUACAUGGUUCUGUUGGACACAAUGAAGCCAUCCAGAGAUGCUAUUAAAAAUCCUGCUAGUCAUUAUGGCUUUAAACUGUACCAUGUCUGUUCUAUUUUCAGCUAGGCAGAGCAUGUUCUAUUUACAGCAGGCCAGCAGACACCAGGCAGUAAGGUGAUGUAUGAAUCAAUUAUCAGGUGACAAAAUGGUUAUGUUUAAUCAUGCAUGUUUUCUUCCUGACUCUCUAUGUUUCUUUGAGGCAUUCAACUACUUGUAGUAUCAGUGCAUCACUGAUGUAUAUAUGUGUUGAUGUUCAUCAUCCAAGAUCAAAUACAUCCUGCUAGGUCAUUACUUGCUAAUGUGCAUCUGAGUUUGCUGUUGCCAGGAUGGAAAUGUUUUUUGGCAGCUUUCUCAGUGAAUCAGUAUCACCGCAGAACCUUUUUGGACACCCAGAUGUCGAGAGAUGCCCAUUUCUGAGGAAUAUCAAUGGAGCUACAACCUUUUCCCUCUCUUCUGCUUUGCCAGUAGCUGCUCAAGGAGGCAAGGGUCCAAUUUUUGAGGAAGGGUCAGGCUUUGAGUCAGCAUUCAAGCUUUUCCAUGGCCGAGAUGGAAUAGUUCCCCUUUCAGAAAGAUCAUAUGUAUCUGAUGAAAACCACAAUGAGAGCAUUGACGUCAAGUUAUAUACUUAGUUAGGCUCAAUUUAGAGUACACUUAUGUAGAGUACACUUAUUUAUAUUGAACCGUCGGAGUUCCUACAUAUGUAUCAAGUUAUAUACUUAGUUAGGCUCAAUGUUAGCAUCAACAGUUGAUGAGCAACUUUAAAUUUAGAGUACACUUAUGAAUGAGUUAUUUGACAAUGCUUAUUUAUGAGAUAUUGAAUGUUAUUUAUCUA